GGAAAGCACUGUGGCUCAGGGGUUGAGCACCUGCUUGGCAUGGAAAAGUUCCCUGGUUCAAUCCCUGGUAUAUCCA
This 76-nucleotide transfer RNA is filed under the name Sphaerodactylus townsendi. RNAcentral describes it as "tRNA-Ala". Lineage: Eukaryota; Metazoa; Chordata; Lepidosauria; Squamata; Sphaerodactylidae. The record is from RNAcentral.